This 404-nucleotide ribosomal RNA is filed under the name uncultured prokaryote. Its description in RNAcentral is "bacterial SSU rRNA". It matches the Rfam family "Bacterial small subunit ribosomal RNA", at positions 355 to 776 of the family's 1533-position model. The record is from RNAcentral. RNAcentral also lists the same sequence under 1 other name.
UAGGGAAUUUUCCGCAAUGGGCGCAAGCCUGACGGAGCAACGCCGCGUGAGGGAUGAAGGUUUUCGGAUCGUAAACCUCUGUCUUCAGGGACGAUAAUGACGGUACCUGAGGAGGAAGCCACGGCUAACUACGUGCCAGCAGCCGCGGUAAUACGUAGGUGGCAAGCGUUGUCCGGAAUUACUGGGCGUAAAGGGCGUGUAGGCGGCCUUUUAAGUCAGAUGUGAAAUCUCAGGGCUUAACCCUGAAACUGCAUUUGAAACUGGAGGGCUUGAGGAUCGGAGAGGGCAGUGGAAUUCCCAGUGUAGCGGUGAAAUGCGUAGAUAUUGGGAGGAACACCAGUGGCGAAGGCGACUGCCUGGACGACACCUGACGCUGAGGCGCGAAAGCUAGGGGAGCAAACGGG